RNAcentral lists this ribosomal RNA (492 nucleotides) under uncultured bacterium. Its description in RNAcentral is "partial 16S ribosomal RNA". It matches the Rfam family "Bacterial small subunit ribosomal RNA", at positions 29 to 507 of the family's 1533-position model. The record is from RNAcentral.
AGUGAACGCUGGCGGUAGGCCUAACACAUGCAAGUCGAACGGCAGCACAGUAAGAGCUUGCUCUUACGGGUGGCGAGUGGCGGACGGGUGAGGAAUACAUCGGAAUCUACUUUUUCGUGGGGGAUAACGUAGGGAAACUUACGCUAAUACCGCAUACGACCUACGGGUGAAAGCAGGGGAUCUUCGGACCUUGCGCGAUUGAAUGAGCCGAUGUCGGAUUAGCUAGUUGGCGGGGUAAAGGCCCACCAAGGCGACGAUCCGUAGCUGGUCUGAGAGGAUGUGCAGGCACACUGGGAAAGAGAAACGGGCCCGACUCCCACGGGGGGGACGAGUGGGGGAAAUUUCGGAAAGGGGGGAAACCCCACGCAGCCACUUCCCGGGGGGGAAAAAAGGCCUCGGGGUUUAAAAGCCCUUUUUUUGGGAAAAAAAAACGGCGGUUAAAAUCCCCCCGUUUUGACGGUACCCAAACAAAAAGCCACGGCUAACUUCGUG